Molecule: ribosomal RNA, 1317 nt
Filed under: uncultured bacterium
Lineage: Bacteria
Description: bacterial SSU rRNA
Rfam family: Bacterial small subunit ribosomal RNA
Source: RNAcentral
AUGCAAGUCGAACGGUCCGACAGUGAGCUCGGAGAUAGUUUACUAUUGAAGAGCACAUUGAAGGAUAGUGGCGGAUGGGUGAGUAACACGUGGAUAAUCUGCCUGUAACACCGGGAUAACACUGUGAAAACGGUGCUAAUACCGGAUACCUUCUCGAAGACACAAGUCCUUGAGAAGAAAGCUCCGGCGGUUACAGAUGAGUCCGCGGCUGAUUAGCUAGUUGGUGAGGUAACGGCUCACCAAGGCGAUGAUCAGUAGCCGGUCUGAGAGGAUGGGCGGCCACACUGGGACUGAGACACGGUCCAGACUCCUACGGGAGGCAGCAGUGGGGAAUUUUCCGCAAUGGGCGCAAGCCUGACGGAGCGACGCCGCGUGAGUGAAGAAGGCCUUCGGGUUGUAAAGCUCUGUCCUAUGGGAAGAAGGAAGUGACGGUACCAUAGGAGGAAGCCACGGCUAACUACGUGCCAGCAGCCGCGGUAAUACGUAGGUGGCCAGCGUUGUCCGGAAUUACUGGGCGUAAAGGGCACGCAGGCGGUAUUUUAAGUCGAAUGUGUAAACUACGGGCUUAACCCGUAAUUGGAUUCGAAACUGGAAUACUUGAGGGUAGGAGAGGACAGUGGAAUUCCUAGUGUAGCGGUGAAAUGCGUAGAUAUUAGGAGGAACACCAGUGGCGAAGGCGGCUGUCUGGCCUACAACUGACGCUGAGGUGCGAAAGCGUGGGUAGCAACAGGAUUAGAUACCCUGGUAGUCCACGCCGUAACGAUGGGUACUAGGUGUGGGAGGUAUCGACCCCUUCUGUGCCGGAGUUAACACAAUAAGUACCCCGCCUGGGGACUACGGUCGCAAGACUAAAACUCAAAGGAAUUGACGGGGGCCCGCACAAGCGGUGGAGCAUGUGGUUUAAUUCGACGCAACGCGAAGAACCUUACCAGGAUUUGACAUCCUCUGAACACCACAGAGAUGUGGUUUUCGAUCUUCGGAUUGGCAGAGAGACAGGUGGUGCAUGGUUGUCGUCAGCUCGUGUCGUGAGAUGUUGGGUUAAGUCCCGCAACGAGCGCAACCCUUAUUCUUAGUUGCCAGCAUUUCGGGUGGGCACUCUAAGGAGACUGCCGGUGACAAACCGGAGGAAGGUGGGGAUGACGUCAAAUCAUCAUGCCCUUUAUGUCCUGGGCUACACACGUGCUACAAUGGCCUGUACAGCGGGUAGCGAAACUGCGAAGUGGAGCCAAUCCCUAAAAGCAGGUCUCAGUUCGGAUUGCAGGCUGCAACUCGCGUGCAUGAAGUAGGAAUCGCUAGUAUCGCGGAUCAGCAUGCCGC